Molecule: long non-coding RNA, 2321 nt
Organism: Dromaius novaehollandiae (emu)
Lineage: Eukaryota; Metazoa; Chordata; Aves; Casuariiformes; Dromaiidae
Exons: 2
Source: RefSeq, a predicted model, not a curated record
AUUGUGCUCUUGCCCCGACCUCCAACAGCCUGAUCUGCCUUUGAAGUUUUCCACCCCUCGACUUGAAGUGAGAUCGAUUACAGAAGAACAACAGGGACAAAGAAUCUGCUGCUUUACGUGCAGCCACUUUCCCACGAUCAGGGCAGCCAGCUCGACAGCAGCAAGAGAUCACCACUUUCCCUAUGCUCCUCCUUGCCACCAUUCAGAAAACAUACAGCCCCCGCCCCAAACUCUCUGCUUCGCCGAAAAAGCUGGAGGUGGGGAUGGCGAGCGGGGUGGGGGGCGAAGAAGGUUACAAAAAUGAAUCAUGUUGCUUAAGGAUGCAGGGACUAAGGGGUGACUUAGACAGUCUCGAGUUUUAAAAGGAAACAGGAAAAUCGGUACAGAGUAUGGGGGGGGCGUUUAAAGUGCAGAUAAAAAAUAAACACGCGUAAGUGGCAAAGUUUAGCUAAGCAGCAAGCAAGCACCUCCUUCCUGGAUUGCUGCUGCGUUCAGGGCUCCACGCACGCACGCACACACGAGCACACACACGCGCACCCCUCGCGGAGCCACGGGGGUGUCAGAGAGCCAAGCAGAGAGCCCCUGCCCGCCCGGCUGAUGGCAUCUGCGCCGGGGACAGUUCAAUAGCCAGAGCCGUACGUGUGUGUGCGGGCGCGACCUCAUGAACGGGACAAACCAUUUACCUUUGUGUCUGGAAGCGAUCGACACCCCCGGCUUGGGGCAGCGGCAGCGAGGAAGGUGACUAAGGCGCCGUCCUGCAACUUGUUCCGCGGGGGCGGGCGGCGGCGCCCCCGCGGGGCCGCACCGCCGGUGAGGCGGGCCGCCGUGGGGCCGCCGCCGGCCGGCACAGGAAGCACUGACUCAGCGCGGAGCCCCCGCCGGCGAAGCCUCGCAGCCUCUGCGUAAUCGCCCCGGGAAGCGGGGCCUCCCCCGGCGGCGGCGGCGGCGGCAGGAGCCGCUGCCCGCCCGCUGCUCCCCUCUGCCCCCCCGCUGGGCGCUGCGGGCCCGGGGCGGCCGCCGCCCUUGGUGCCCCCGCCCCGGUCACCUGCGUCACCGUCGCCCAGCAUUAGCCAAACCUGACAGAAACGGCAGACAUCACAAAUACAAUGAUUUUUCUUAAGUGUUCCGUGAAAAGCAUCAGGAUGGGCUUAAAAAAAACCAGACAAACACCUUGUUAGUGGCCACACACACACAGCACUGGCAGUGCACUCGGCUCCUUCGCGUACAAACCGAUUUUCAGGAAUGCUUCAGUCCUGCGGGAAGCAUCACUUAUUACCUCUAUCUUUCUAGGCAACUGAGAAUCCAAAUGCCAUAUAGUGCUCCUACAGCAAAGGAGACUUCAUCAGUCCUCAUCUGCCUCUCACGGCGCUGCUUCUUGAGCCCUUGCACUUAGGUGAUUGCUUGAGGAACAGCUUUAAUUUAAGAAGAAAUUACAUUUCUACCCCUUCUGGUUGUAAAAAUAUUUGCUUUAUAUGGCAAAGGCUCCAUUAGCUUUAGGGGUUUUUUGUUGUUGUUGACAGUUUCAACAUUUGAAAUAUUAAGGCAGGUUCAAUUUGAUAAUGUCUCCAAGUAUUAGUAAAAACGGUAGUUUCAUACUUUGCUGAUAAUUACCUUAGGAAGGUAAAUAAGAAUCUCGCUCUAAACGUGUACAUUUAUAUAAGCAUAAUUAUAUAUAUCUACUAUGCAAGCAUACACUUGCAUAUCUGUGUAAGGUUGUAACGGGUAACCAGCAGUCUCUCAAAAUCUGUGCUGAUACGUUGGUUUAGAUGAAGAUUCAUUACCCCUACAGUGAUUUAACUGUAAGUAGGUGUAUGUGUAUUAUUUACACAUAUUAUAUAUGUAUUAUGUAACGAUAUGUAUUAUUAUACAUAUAAUGUGUAUUUUGUACACAUGUUACUGAAGAUAGAAAUACUGUAAUUUAAAAAAAUCAAGUUGCAAGAUCAAGCAUAAAAAGUUUAGAAAAUAGGUUAAGACUGAUGGUUUAAUCUAAAUUCAUCCUCUGUCUAUAUGAUGGUCUUUUAAUUCAAUGUUAACACACUUGUUUUUUCUACUGUACCUUUCCUUUCAUGCUUAGGAUACUUUUUGUUAAACUAUACUAUCGUUUUUCUAUCCUUAUUAAAUAUGUGACUUCUUGUAUUGAUUAUUGCACACUAUUUAAACCUCACAUUGAAUACAGAAUAUGCUCAGGAGACUUUCUGUUAUUCUUUCAUCAUAGUAUCUUAUUAUUGGACAUGUUAAUAAAAUUAUUCAGGAGACUUUCUGUUAUUCUUUCAUCAUAGUAUCUUAUUAUUGGACAUGUUAAUAAAAUUAUCUACACAACA